This 414-nucleotide ribosomal RNA is filed under the name uncultured bacterium. RNAcentral describes it as "partial 16S ribosomal RNA". The record is from RNAcentral.
ACUCCUACGGGAGGCAGCACUGAUGAGCAGAUUGCCCUGCUGAAAAACCUUCUCGACUACCUGAACAAGGCUAAAGACUCGUCAGGAGGAACGGAAAGCAUACUGAGCGUCACCACCUGAACCGAUACUACGCGGUAAAAAUCGUGGGGCUGCCGCCACGACGGAAGCGCCCCACGAUUCCUCCCCCCGGGAGGACCAUGUCCCGGCUUCCUCGCCGGGCUGUUCCUCACUUGCUCUCCGUACCGACCUCGAACUUGUAACCAACGCUGUAAACGGAAUGGAUCAGUUCCGUUUCGGGCGCCACCAUGGCGAUCUUCUUGCGAAGCUUCUUUAUAUGGCUGUCAAUCGUCCGAUCGGCGACGAUCCGUUCGUCCGGAUAGAUGUGGUCCAUCAACUGCUGCCUCCCGUAGGAGU